GAUGAACGCUAGCGGGAGGCUUAACACAUGCAAGCCGAGGGGUAUAGCUCUUUCGGGACCUAGAGACCGGCGCACGGGUGCGUAACGCGUAUGCAACUUGCCCUACUGAAAAGGGCAGCCCUUCGAAAGGAGGAUUAAUACUUUAUAACAGAUUUAUUGGCAUCAUUAGAUUUUGAAAGAUUUAUCGCAGUAGGAUAGGCCUGCGUCAGAUUAGUUAGUUGGUGAGGUAACGGCUCACCAAGACGAAGAUCUGUAGGGGGCAUGAGAGGGUGAACGCCCACCCCGGAACUGGGACCGGGUCCAGGCACCUACGGCAGCCAGAAGUAGGGAAUAUUGAGAAAUGGGCGAAGGUGGGAGGCCGAAACGGCCCGUCCGCGAUGAAGGUGUUCGGCUUUUUGGUUUGUGACUUCUGUGAAGCAGGGAUGAACCUGCUUACAUGUAAGUAGCUGAGGGUACCAGAAGAAUAAGCACCGGCAAAUUCCGG
RNAcentral lists this ribosomal RNA (484 nucleotides) under uncultured bacterium. RNAcentral describes it as "partial 16S ribosomal RNA". It matches the Rfam family "Bacterial small subunit ribosomal RNA", at positions 28 to 506 of the family's 1533-position model. The record is from RNAcentral.